GGCGGCGUGCCUAACAAUGCAAGUCGAACGCCCUUGCGCAAGCAAGGGAGUGGCGGACGGGUGAGUAACGCGUGGGUGGACCUACCCUUAGGUGAGGAAUACCACCGGGAAACCGGUGACAAUACCGCAUAUCUUUGGCGACAAAGAAAGCUCUCGCAAGAGGGCGCCUGAGGAUGGGCCCGCGUCCGAUUAGCUAGUUGGUGGGGUAAAGGCCUACCAAGGCGACGAUCGGUAGCUGGUCUGAGAGGACGAUCAGCCACACUGGGAUUGAGAACGGCCCAGACUCCUACGGGGGGCAGCAGUGAGGAAUUUUCGUCAAUGGGGGAAACCCUGAACGAGCAACGCCGCGUGCAGGAAGAAGGUUUUCGGAUCGUAAACUGCUUUUCUCUGGGACGAGAAGGGACGGUACCAGAGGAACAAGCCCCGGCUAACUACGUGCCAGCAGCCGCGGUAAUACGUAUGGGGCGAGCGUUGUCCGGAGUUACUGGGCGUAAAGGGCACGCAGGCGGUCUAGCAAGUUUGGAGUGACAGUGUCGAGC
Molecule: ribosomal RNA, 539 nt
Filed under: uncultured bacterium
Lineage: Bacteria
Description: bacterial SSU rRNA
Rfam family: Bacterial small subunit ribosomal RNA
Source: RNAcentral